This 1673-nucleotide long non-coding RNA is filed under the name Citrus sinensis (sweet orange). Its description in RNAcentral is "long non-coding RNA (CSIN_LNC003528)". Lineage: Eukaryota; Viridiplantae; Streptophyta; Magnoliopsida; Sapindales; Rutaceae. The record is from RNAcentral.
GAAAAAAAAAACAAUAGAAAGGAAAAGAAAAAGAGAGAGAGAGAUAGAUGGAGGGAAAAGAGAGAAAAGAAAAGAAAAAUUAUUAGUUCUUCCAUAGGCAACACAUGGGAUCAAGUUGUAAUUGUUAAGAGAAGUUUUGGAGGUAAGUUUUAAUUAUUGGUUUUUAUUAAAUUGUUGUGGGGAAGCAUGAUUGCAAUAAAAGUAGAAAACUAAGAUUUUGCAGAACUAUGCUGACAGUGAAUUAUUAUGAAAAUCAUAGUAAUUUGUACAAAUUAAUUUUGAUUCUGAUUUUUGGUAUGUUAAACUAGACAUCGUCUAGAAUUGAAACUUAUUUCAAGUUAAUCGGAUAAGAUUUCAAUUAAUUAUGAUUUGUCAAAGUCAAGUCUGAUAACCUGGAAAUUUAUUAUUUUAGUGAAUAACGUGAAUUACGAAAUUAUAUUUACCAUAGCUAGACUUCUUCCAAAAUUAUGAAAUUUGGACCAAUGCUUUUUAUAUAUGUCUAGUAUGAUUCCGUAAAUUUUCAUGAUUUUAUGAUGAAGCAAUAAAUUGUUUUGUAUUUGUAAAGCAAGUGUGUUCAAAACAUCAAAUUGUUUGACUGUAUUGAUGAUGUCUGAAACGUCAAUUAUUUUCAAUAGUUUUUGAAGGAAUUAUGUUAUGAAAUUUUUAUCAAUGAACUUUCAAUGUGUCAUCAUAUGGUCUGUAAAAUUUGAGAUUUUUCCAAUGCAGGAAUAAUUUAUUAAAAAAAUUGGGAGAAUAUGGGUUGUUCUGGUUUAAGGGUCGAUUAUUGAGAACAUUGAUGUUGAGCUUAGGAGAUGUUUAAAUUGAGAUAUUUGAGGACAUUAGAGUUUAUGAUUGAGACUCGAUUAUAUCUUAUGAGAAAUUUAUUGAUGAUUUUAGGUGGAUGAUAUCAGUACGCAUUUGUUACAUGAGGAUGCCAAGAGGUAAGUAAACUAGACUUUUAAAUGAAUCACAAUAAACAAUAUAUAUGUUUGACUUGUGUAAAAAGUCUAUUUUUAAUAUUUACAUAUAUGGAUUUAUAUGUAUCUGCUUAUGUGUUUAUGUGAUGUGUUGUUAUGUGUUGGGCGUGAUUAUGUACAUGGGCAUAUGUAUGUGUGAUGGUUCAUUGGCAUAAGCAUGAAAAUACAUUGAGUUUUCUAUGAAUGAGAAAGUGGGUUUUAGCAAAUUGAAUUUCGGUUUUAUGAGAUUUUGCAUUGGGGUCACCUCUUGAAGUUGUGUGGGGCCACCUCUUGAGACUAUGCAAGGGCUACCUCUUGAGGGCCACAGCGCCGCAAAGUACCACGCACAGCGCAAAGUGCCACAACUGCAGAAUAUGUAUUUCAUUGAAAGAAAAUGAGAAAAUUUGAAAGCGACAGAAAGAGAUUUUUAUGAAUUUGUUUACAGUAUUUCCAAAAGAUUAUGACAUAUCAUCCAUUUGCAUUAUGUAUAAAUAUGUAUGUAUUUUGGUAUAAGAAAAACUAGUUUGCUUACUGGGUCUUGUACUCAUUAUAGUUUAUUGUGAUUCAGUUUCGAGAAGUUAGGAUUGAUUCGUGAUGAGUGAGAAGAUGGAUUUGAAUUGAGGAUAGUAGAUGGUUUGGCUAAAUUUUUAGGUUAUUAUGCUGGCUUUUGUAUUUGAGGCUUGAAUUUUAUCGGUUGUAAGAGUUAUUUAAAUUCAU